GGACGAACGCUGGCGGCGUGCCUAAUACAUGCAAGUCGAGCGGACCAAUAGAAAAGCUUGCUUUUCUUGAGGUUAGCGGCGGACGGGUGAGUAACACGUGGGCAACCUACCUGUAAGACUGGGAUAACUUACGGAAACGUGAGCUAAUACCGGAUAGUUUCACUUCUCGCAUGAGAAGUGAAGGAAAGAUGGCUUUUAGCUAUCACUUACAGAUGGGCCCGCGGCGCAUUAGCUAGUUGGUGGGGUAAAGGCCUACCAAGGCAACGAUGCGUAGCCGACCUGAGAGGGUGAUCGGCCACACUGGGACUGAGACACGGCCCAGACUCCUACGGGAGGCAGCAGUAGGGAAUCUUCCGCAAUGGACGAAAGUCUGACGGAGCAACGCCGCGUGAGCGAAGAAGGUCUUCGGAUCGUAAAGCUCUGUUGUUAGGGAAGAACAAGUACCGGAGUAACUGUCGGUACCUUGACGGUACCUAACCAGAAAGCCACGGCUACUACGUGCCAGCA
RNAcentral lists this ribosomal RNA (507 nucleotides) under bacterium SSCA25. RNAcentral describes it as "bacterial SSU rRNA". It matches the Rfam family "Bacterial small subunit ribosomal RNA", at positions 27 to 513 of the family's 1533-position model. The record is from RNAcentral.